GCUCUUGUCUAUAAUGGUUCUGUAACGUUUUCAGAUGUCUUCGCCUUCUCCUUCGGUUGGCAGUCGAAGUACUCCAUCCUUUCACAUGCAGGGACACUCCGACACUGAAUCCUCUGCUGGCGAGGAAUUGCGUUUUUCUCCUGAACCAAUGGAGUCAACACAGGAGGGUACACAUUCCAUUGAAAAUCUGCGAAGUAGACGUCAUA
This is a long non-coding RNA of Bufo bufo (common toad), 206 nucleotides long. RefSeq lists it as uncharacterized. The record is from RefSeq and is a predicted model, not a curated record. NCBI's taxonomy places the organism in Eukaryota, Metazoa, Chordata, Amphibia, Anura, Bufonidae. The transcript has 3 exons.